This is a long non-coding RNA of Cervus elaphus (red deer), 432 nucleotides long. RefSeq lists it as uncharacterized. The record is from RefSeq and is a predicted model, not a curated record. The transcript has 3 exons. Lineage: Eukaryota; Metazoa; Chordata; Mammalia; Artiodactyla; Cervidae.
GCGAGAAAGCAUGCUAAUCUCACAAUAGGGUUGGCUGAGCUCACUUCUCUUUCUUGCUCAAAAGUCUUCAAAGAUUUUCCACUGCUCCGGCUGACGUCUGAAUUCCUGAGCCUGGCAGCACAGAGAAGUUCCUGCCUCACUAACAGUGUUAUCAUGGUCCUGAUGGUGCUGAACUGUCUCUGAAUCCCUUCCAUGUCUGAUGCUCUAAGCCAGUGCUUGUCCAGCUGUGGGUCACGUGCCCUUGACUAGUGACCACACGCUCCGUGAUUCGGACAACACCCGCACCCCUUCAUAGCCUGCACAGUGGGCCCGUUCCCAGCCCGGCCGCAGCCAGGAGAACUACCCCAGGGACACAAGGUCAGCAAGCCCUGGCCUCCCGGAGGUCAGCAGAGGUCAGCGUCCAGGGGAAGAGAGGCUGCACGCGGUCGGGAC